Molecule: long non-coding RNA, 1671 nt
Organism: Monodelphis domestica (gray short-tailed opossum)
Lineage: Eukaryota; Metazoa; Chordata; Mammalia; Didelphimorphia; Didelphidae
Source: Ensembl
UAAAGUCACCAAAAAGUCCCAAAACACACAUAUUCAAACCUUUUCAGAGCUUCCUUUCCUGAUUCCAACCAGCCACACGUGCUAGUUCAAUACUGGGGCUUUGGAGGAGGACCAAACCUCCCUAUUGCCUGCUUAGCUGUGUGCCAUUCAGUGGUGAAGGACUUGGAACUUUGGGGGUGGUGAAGAAAUCAUCUUUGUGCCCACGAAGCAGGAAAAGCCAGUGACUGAGGAGACCAGGAAAAGGGAGUGGACUGACUGGCUUUGGUUCUUUCUUUUUCUUCCAGGCUUCAGACUGUGUGGAUGUCCUGGGACUCUCUUCCUAGAGGGUUGGAUAAAUCUGCACCCAACCACCCAGCCUCCCAGUUACUGCUCCCAUAGGGCAGCUGGAGCAAAGGGACUCAACUAGCUGAGUUUGAGUCUGAGCUUCCUGCUACUUCCUCAGCUUUGUCUUCCUUGGCUUGAUUAAGGACUGUCUCACAGAAGCCCUGAAACAACAUGUCUAAUUUUGGAGGAAAUUGUACGUUUAAAGGUUAGAGAUCUUGGGUCCAUUGGUCAGAACUGGCAGGAAGCAAGAGAAGUUCCAACCUCAGAGAAGAUGGCCCAGGACAAGGGGCAGAGAGCACACUCUGGAGUUAUUUGGACAGUGCAGAGAAGAGAGUAUCUGAUAUGUGGGAUGGAUGUCUUCUUAAAGAGUACCAAGAAUGGAUCUGGAAUAUUCCCCUCCAAGGGAAGCUACUGACUUUUUAGACUUUGCCUCAGCUGCAAUCUCACCAUGAAACAUUCCUCUGUACCUGGGAACUUCUCACCAUAGAACAUUACCCAUUUUCCUUGUCUGCUUCCUUCUCCCAUUGGUGAAUUCCUCCUGUUGCUUUUGAGGAGAAACCUAGGCUGGCCAACCUUGAUUCCUCUAUCCACCAUGCUUCUGAUUUUACUGAUUUCAAGAGCAGGCUCUGACUCCAGUAUCUCUCCCCCCCCCCUUUUUUAAUUCCCUUUUGUGUGUUGUCUUCCUCUAUUAGAAUGUAAGCUUCUUGAUAAUUAGGAAAAAGACUUGUACAAGAAUAUUCAUAGCUGCACUCUUUGUGGUGGCAAAAAUUUGGAAAAUUAAGGGAUGCCCUUCGAUUGGGGAAUGACUGAACAAAUUGUGGUAUCUGUUGGUGAUGGAAUUCUAUUGUGCUCAAAGGAAUAAUGAACUGGAGGGAUUCCAUGUGAACUGGAACGACCUCCAGGAAUUGAUACAGAGUGAAAGAAGCAGAAGCAGGAGAACGUUGUACACGGAGACAGAUACAUUAUAGCACAAUCAAGUGUAAUGGACUUUUCUACUAGCAGCAAUGCAAUGAUCCAGGACCAUUUUGAGGAACUUAUGAGAAAGAAUGGAUCCACAUCCAGAGAAAGAACUGUGGGAGCAGAAACACUGAAGAAAAACAACUAUUUGAUCACAUGAAUCGAUGGGGAUAUGAUUAGGGAUGUAGACUCUAAAGGAUCACCCUGGUGCAAAUAUCAAUAAUAUGGAAAUAGAUCUUGAUCAAUGACACAUGUAAAACCCAAUGGAAUUGUGCAUUGGCUACAGGAGGGGGGGAGGAGGAAGGGAGGGAAAGAACAUGAAUUGUAACCAUGGAAAAAUAGUCUAAAUUAAUCAAUAAAAUUAAAUUAAAAAGAAAAAAGAAUGUAAGC